UACGGAGGGUGCGAGCGUUAAUCGGAAUUACUGGGCGUAAAGCGCACGCAGGCGGUUUGUUAAGCAAGAUGUGAAAGCCCCGGGCUCAACCUGGGAACUGCAUUUUGAACUGGCAGACUAGAGUCUUGGAGAGGGGGGUGGAAUUCCAGGUGUAGCGGUGAAAUGCGUAGAGAUCUGGAGGAACAUCAGUGGCGAAGGCGGCCUCCGCGCAAAGACUGACGCUCAUGUGCGAAAGUGUGGGUAGCGAACAGGAUUAGACGUACCGGAAGUC
This 271-nucleotide ribosomal RNA is filed under the name uncultured bacterium. Its description in RNAcentral is "partial 16S ribosomal RNA". It matches the Rfam family "Bacterial small subunit ribosomal RNA", at positions 524 to 795 of the family's 1533-position model. The record is from RNAcentral.